This 284-nucleotide RNase P RNA is filed under the name Nitrosopumilaceae archaeon. RNAcentral describes it as "RNase P RNA component". It matches the Rfam family "Archaeal RNase P". From Rfam's summary of the family: Ribonuclease P (RNase P) is a ubiquitous endoribonuclease, found in archaea, bacteria and eukarya as well as chloroplasts and mitochondria. Its best characterised activity is the generation of mature 5'-ends of tRNAs by cleaving the 5'-leader elements of precursor-tRNAs. Lineage: Archaea; Thermoproteati; Nitrososphaerota; Nitrososphaeria; Nitrosopumilales; Nitrosopumilaceae. The record is from RNAcentral.
GUGAGUUGGUGUACGAUUACUGUUACGACAGAGGAAACUCCUCCCUUCAUACAGGAUAUGUGAUCUGGAGAUAGAUAAUCAGAGAUGGUUGGCAACAGCAUAGAAAAAUAAUUCGAUCUAACAUGUACUGUGAGGAUGUAAGAGUCUGAGGUUGUUAGUGGAGAAAUGGAAAAGCUGUCCCACAUGAAGCAAAGCCGAACAAAACAAUAAGUUCCUGUACUCAGUUUAGGUAGGCUGCAAAGUUAAAUAUCGUAAAAACAGAAGGAGGGUUACUACCAACACAC